RNA transcript from Solanum pennellii, 2344 nucleotides. It is a transcript of the gene named isoflavone 2'-hydroxylase-like, with no coding region annotated. The transcript has a single exon. NCBI's taxonomy places the organism in Eukaryota, Viridiplantae, Streptophyta, Magnoliopsida, Solanales, Solanaceae. The record is from RefSeq and is a predicted model, not a curated record.
CUAGGCAUAUUUUACUCUUAACAUUUGUUAUUUUGAUAAAGAUAUUCAUUGAAUUUCCGAUGUACGAACUCGGAUCACAUACUAUAAGAUUUACAGUACCAUUCUGAAUUACACUCCCAACAAAGUUUUCUCUAUAUCUAGAGGUUGAACUCGAAACUUGUGAUUAAUAAUGGAGCUGUUUCACCGUUGCACCACUACCUAUGUUGGUGGGCCAUGCUAUUCACCCUGGUUUGACAAUACAAGCAUGCUUGGAACUUUGCCAUCCACAAAAGAUACCUUAUACAACAUUUUAGUAUAAAUAAUGAUCAAGUGAGCAAAGUCAUCAAAAAGUCUUGUUUGCUUGUAUUUGCAUCAACCAUGGAAAUUUCAUAUUACAUACUCAUCUUCACUUUCAUUUACUUGCUAAAGAACCAUUUCCUUAGAAAAUUCCAAAAUCUCCCACCAAGUCCCUUUAUCUCUUUGCCCAUUAUAGGCCAUCUAUAUCUACUCAAGAAAAAACCACUUCAUAAAACAUUAGCCAACAUAACAGAAAAACAUGGUCCUUUGCUUUACCUUCGAUUUGGAUCGCGUCCUGUCCUGGUUGUCUCCUCCCCUUCUCUUGCAGAGGAAUGUUUCACCAAAAACGACAUUGUUUUUGCCAAUCGUGUGAAUCUGCUUGCUGGAAAACACCUUGGUUACAACUAUACCACCCUUGUUUGGGCAUCCUAUGGCCAACAUUGGCGCAACCUAAGAAGGAUUGCUACUCAUGAAGUUUUGUCCACUCAGAGAGUUCAAAUGUUUGCUGAUAUCCAUAGAGAUGAGGUUCGGGCUCUGCUGCAACGACUUCUAAGGGGGAAAACUAGUGGUGGAGAUACUAACACAAACGUGGUGGAUAUGAAAGCGGCUUUCUUUGAGAUGACACUGAAUAUCUUGAUGAUGAUGAUUGCUGGGAAAAGAUACUAUGGUGAUUCUGCUGGGAAAUUGGAGGAAUCUAGGAGGUUUAAAGAGAUUGUCACAGAAAGUUUCCAAGUGAGUGGUGCAACAAAUAUAGGAGAUUUUGUGCCACUUCUUAAAUGGAUAGGAGUUAACAAACUUGAGGAUAAGGUGAAGUUACUGCAGGAGAAGAGGGAUAAAUUCAUGCAAGAAUUGAUUGAAGAGCACAAGAACCGACGAAAGGGAUCUUGUUUGGAGCAAAAGAACAAUACCAUGAUUGAUGUUCUGUUAUCCCUCCAAGAUUCAGAGCCUGAUUAUUACACAGAUGAAGUGAUAAAGGGAAUGGGAAUAGUCAUGUUAACAGCAGGGACUGAUACUACAGCUAGCACAAUGGAAUGGGCAUUAUCACUUCUUCUGAACAAUCCUGAGGCACUAAAGAAAGCUCAAAACGAAAUAGACACUCACCUUGGAGAGUCAUCAAGGUUACUUGAUGAGUCAGACCUUGCUCAACUCCCUUAUCUCCAUGGAAUCAUAAACGAAACUCUCCGAUUGUGCCCAGCUGCUCCAUUACUUGUGCCACACGAGUCCUCAGAUGAGUGUGUUGUUGGAGGUUUUCGUGUACCCCGAGGGACAAUGUUGCUAGUGAAUUUGUGGGCAAUACAAAAUGAUGUUAAGUUGUGGGACAGGCCAAAUGAGUUCAUGCCUGAAAGGUUUAUCGAUUUCAAAGGUCAACGAGAUGGGUUCAGGCUAAUGCCAUUUGGAUAUGGCAGGAGAGGAUGUCCAGGUGAGAAUAUGGCAAUGCAUGUGGCUGGUUUGGCUUUAGGAUCACUUAUUCAGUGCUUUGAAUGGGAGAGAGUAAGUGAAGAGCUGGUUGACAUGACUGGAGGACCUGGACUCACUAUGCCCAAGGCAAUACCAUUGCUAGCAAAAUGUAGGCCACGCCAAAAUAUCGACAACCUUCUUACUCAUUUGUAAUCACAAUUCUCCCCUGCACUUUCUCUUUCAGACAGAACAAUAAAUGCAAAAAAAACGAUGUUAGAAUUGUCUAUGAACACUUACAACAUAACAUUGCUUUCAAAUCUUUGUGGGCUGUACUAUUAUUUAUAAAGAAACAUAUGUAAAACACAGGAAGCUGGAGUAAUCAUCCAAGAAUCACUGAGAAAAUGAAGGUUCUCAUAUUUCAUAAGCAAACAGAAUAACAUUUAAUUUUUUCUAUAGCAAGGAUGGACUCCUUUUCCGCUUAUUAUGAACUCAUGUAAGAAUAAUUCGCGGUUAGUUCAAAGCAUAGUAGCUCUGUUGUCCAGCUCAGCAAAUCAUGUUCUUAACAGGUUAACUUGGCCACUAGCCAUAAUUGCUACAAACAAACUAUUCAAAACGAUGUAAAACCAAAAGUGGACCAGAUUAUAGUCACCAAAAUAAAUGUUCUCACUGU